This 478-nucleotide ribosomal RNA is filed under the name uncultured organism. RNAcentral's name for it is "partial 16S ribosomal RNA". It matches the Rfam family "Bacterial small subunit ribosomal RNA", at positions 332 to 801 of the family's 1533-position model. The record is from RNAcentral.
UACACUCCUACGGGAGGCAGCAGUGGGGAAUUUUGGACAAUGGGCGAAAGCCUGAUCCAGCAAUGCCGCGUGAGUGAAGAAGGCCUUCGGGUUGUAAAGCUCUUUUGUCAGGGAAGAAACGGUGAAAGCUAAUAUCUUUUGCUAAUGACGGUACCUGAAGAAUAAGCACCGGCUAACUACGUGCCAGCAGCCGCGGUAAUACGUAGGGUGCAAGCGUUAAUCGGAAUUACUGGGCGUAAAGCGUGCGCAGGCGGUUUUGUAAGUCUGAUGUGAAAUUCCCGGGCUCAACCUGGGAAUUGCAUUGGGGACUGCAAGGCUAGAAUCUGGCAGAGGGGGGUAGAAUUCCACGUGUAGCAGUGAAAUGCGUAGAUAUGUGGAGGAACACCGAUGGCGAAGGCAGCCCCCUGGGUCAAGAUUGACGCUCAUGCACGAAAGCGUGGGGAGCAAACAGGAUUAGAAACCCCAGUAGUCCCAUGAU